CGUCUCGAACACUCGCAACCCAAUAAGGACUAAAGAAUAUUAUCGAUUUGAUGUUACAUAUCGAUUGAGAUCUUCUGUAUCGAUCAAACAAUAGUUUAGUCGAAAAAGUGGCACCAUACAGUAAAACAAAAUCUGGAUGAAUUACGAAUGACUUGAUAAAUUAACCGAUAAGUCAUACAAUUAGAAAGCCGUGAUACAAAUGGAUUAAAGUCAAUAUUCAGUACUAGUAGGUCAUUGACAAAAAUGGUCCAGUUUGAUUUUGACGUACCAAUACGUUAUUGGCGGAUUUGAUCAGUUCGAAUUUCACGUACCAAUAAAUAUUAGUUGUAUUUAAAAGUAUAUGAUAUCUAACUGGCCAUCUACAAAAGAAGGUUAUGAUGUAUUAUUUGAUAUACCUGUCUGAGUUCAAAUAUACUGAACAAGAAUGGAAAAAGAUAAGAAUCGACGAGGAUAAUUUUUGUUACGAAUCCUUCAAUUCGUUCCAAAUAUCGGAUUGUUACCAGCGUAAAAUUCGGUCAUUAAAAAUCGUUAUUUUUUUGAUAAUUUCAAGGGAGGAUGAUAGAUAUUGGACAAUAUUUGCAUAGCCUAUAAAAUAUUUGCCAAACUAUUAAGUUGUUGACAUAUGUGGAUUUUAUUACUCUUUUGUAGACCACUUAGUCAGUUCACGCGACACUGCCGCGGAUGGGUUAAUUUGUCAACUGUCAAAUUUAAUACGAAAGACAAGGAGUGAUGCGACGCGGUAUUUUUGUGCUUACGUUGUCUUCGUCUUUUAUAAGUUAAAUUUAACAAAUUCAAGUCAAGAUAUCUGCCACGCUAAUGUCUUUUCGUUAUAAAUAGAUUAAUAUCUCUUUUGCAGAAAAUGUCCAGUUGGUCCGACUAAUGUCAUAAAAAAUAUACGGUGUCAUUUAAAAGAUU
This is a long non-coding RNA of Bombus pyrosoma, 915 nucleotides long. RefSeq lists it as uncharacterized. NCBI's taxonomy places the organism in Eukaryota, Metazoa, Arthropoda, Insecta, Hymenoptera, Apidae. The transcript has 3 exons. The record is from RefSeq and is a predicted model, not a curated record.